CUGCAGCUAAUUAAGUGAACUGGGUUCCUUUACUUGUGGUGGCCCAGUGUGCAAUGACUGCAGAUAGCAAACUCCUCAGUAGUAUAUGCAUGCAGCAUGUCACUUGUAUGGGUUGCCCUUGAGGGACCUUGGAGACAGCA
Molecule: small nucleolar RNA, 140 nt
Filed under: Sciurus vulgaris (Eurasian red squirrel)
Lineage: Eukaryota; Metazoa; Chordata; Mammalia; Rodentia; Sciuridae
Description: Small nucleolar RNA SNORA70 (ENSSVLG00005004767.1)
Rfam family: Small nucleolar RNA SNORA70
About the family: snoRNA U70 seems to be exclusive to mammals and is a member of the H/ACA class of snoRNA which contain H (ANANNA) and ACA box motifs. H/ACA box snoRNAs are involved in the conversion of uridines to pseudouridines (5-ribosyluracil) a constituent of structural RNAs (transfer, ribosomal, small nuclear, and small nucleolar).
Source: Rfam by way of RNAcentral